This 446-nucleotide ribosomal RNA is filed under the name uncultured bacterium. Its description in RNAcentral is "partial 16S ribosomal RNA". It matches the Rfam family "Bacterial small subunit ribosomal RNA", at positions 338 to 795 of the family's 1533-position model. The record is from RNAcentral.
CCUACGGGGGGCAGCAGUCGAGAAUCAUUCACAAUGGGGGAAACCCUGAUGGUGCGACGCCGCGUGGGGGAAUGAAGGUCUUCGGAUUUUAAACCCCUGUCAUGUGGGCGCAAAUUAAAAAGAUAGUACCACAAGAGGAAGAGACGGCUAACUCUGUGCCAGCAGCCGCGGUAAUACAGAGGUCUCAAGCGUUGUUCGGAAUCACUGGGCGUAAAGCGUGCGUAGGCUGUUUCGUAAGUCGUGUGUGAAAUGCGCGGGCUCAACCCGCGGACGGCACAUGAUACUGCGAGACUAGAGUAAUGGAGGGGGAACCGGAAUUCUCGGUGUAGCAGUGAAAUGCGUAGAUAUCGGGAGGAACACUCGUGGCGAAGGCGGGUUCCUGGACAUUAACUGACGCUGAGGCACGAAGGCCAGGGGAGCGAAAGGGAUUAGAUACCCUGGUAGUC